This 313-nucleotide long non-coding RNA is filed under the name Salvia miltiorrhiza (redroot sage). RNAcentral's name for it is "long non-coding RNA (SMIL_LNC011518)". Lineage: Eukaryota; Viridiplantae; Streptophyta; Magnoliopsida; Lamiales; Lamiaceae. The record is from RNAcentral.
UUUCCUAAUGCAAUUUCCUUUAUAAUCAUAUCUCAUUCCUUUUUCAUGUUCUUUCAUUUUUAUUUUUUAUUUUUGGGUCAAGUUAUUUUCGCUCUUAAUAGAUGGGCCAAAAUUCACGAGAUUGAACUUUUGGAGGUGAUCCAAGAUGUUCUCGUGUGGUUUCCCAUACUCAUAAUGAAGCCAUUAGAGGAGCAGAGACCCAGAGCUAUCAAAAACUCAACAACCAACCAAACACUUCAACACAGAGAAUGAUAUUAGGAAUUUGCACUGAAAACACUCCCCCUAGCUUCUACCGGACAAAUCACGUCAAAAG